This 1800-nucleotide ribosomal RNA is filed under the name Salmonella enterica subsp. enterica serovar Virchow. RNAcentral describes it as "partial 23S ribosomal RNA". It matches the Rfam family "Bacterial large subunit ribosomal RNA", at positions 1154 to 2908 of the family's 2925-position model. Lineage: Bacteria; Pseudomonadati; Pseudomonadota; Gammaproteobacteria; Enterobacterales; Enterobacteriaceae. The record is from RNAcentral.
CGUAUCACUUAAAGCGAUUCAGCGGGUUACGAUUGACGGAGCGAAGCGACGUCAAAGCGUAUACAAAGUCGAGUCGGUUUAAGGAUACGUUCGUUGGGUAGGGGAGCGUUCUGUAAGCCUGUGAAGGUGUGUCGUGAGGCAUGCUGGAGGUAUCAGAAGUGCGAAUGCUGACAUAAGUAACGAUAAAGCGGGUGAAAAGCCCGCUCGCCGGAAGACCAAGGGUUCCUGUCCAACGUUAAUCGGGGCAGGGUGAGUCGACCCCUAAGGCGAGGCCGAAAGGCGUAGUCGAUGGGAAACGGGUUAAUAUUCCCGUACUUGGUGUUACUGCGAAGGGGGGACGGAGAAGGCUAUGUUGGCCGGGCGACGGUUGUCCCGGUUUAAGCGUGUAGGUGUGUGUUCCAGGUAAAUCCGGUUCACUUUAACACUGAGGCGUGACGACGAGGCACUACGGUGCUGAAGCAACAAAUGCCCUGCUUCCAGGAAAAGCCUCUAAGCAUCAGGUAACAUCAAAUCGUACCCCAAACCGACACAGGUGGUCAGGUAGAGAAUACCAAGGCGCUUGAGAGAACUCGGGUGAAGGAACUAGGCAAAAUGGUGCCGUAACUUCGGGAGAAGGCACGCUGACACGUAGGUGAAGUGAUUUACUCAUGGAGCUGAAGUCAGUCGAAGAUACCAGCUGGCUGCAACUGUUUAUUAAAAACACAGCACUGUGCAAACACGAAAGUGGACGUAUACGGUGUGACGCCUGCCCGGUGCCGGAAGGUUAAUUGAUGGGGUCAGCGCAAGCGAAGCUCCUGAUCGAAGCCCCGGUAAACGGCGGCCGUAACUAUAACGGUCCUAAGGUAGCGAAAUUCCUUGUCGGGUAAGUUCCGACCUGCACGAAUGGCGUAAUGAUGGCCAGGCUGUCUCCACCCGAGACUCAGUGAAAUUGAACUCGCUGUGAAGAUGCAGUGUACCCGCGGCAAGACGGAAAGACCCCGUGAACCUUUACUAUAGCUUGACACUGAACAUUGAGCCUUGAUGUGUAGGAUAGGUGGGAGGCUUUGAAGUGUGGACGCCAGUCUGCAUGGAGCCGACCUUGAAAUACCACCCUUUAAUGUUUGAUGUUCUAACGUGGACCCGUAAUCCGGGUUGCGGACAGUGUCUGGUGGGUAGUUUGACUGGGGCGGUCUCCUCCUAAAGAGUAACGGAGGAGCACGAAGGUUGGCUAAUCCUGGUCGGACAUCAGGAGGUUAGUGCAAUGGCAUAAGCCAGCUUGACUGCGAGCGUGACGGCGCGAGCAGGUGCGAAAGCAGGUCAUAGUGAUCCGGUGGUUCUGAAUGGAAGGGCCAUCGCUCAACGGAUAAAAGGUACUCCGGGGAUAACAGGCUGAUACCGCCCAAGAGUUCAUAUCGACGGCGGUGUUUGGCACCUCGAUGUCGGCUCAUCACAUCCUGGGGCUGAAGUAGGUCCCAAGGGUAUGGCUGUUCGCCAUUUAAAGUGGUACGCGAGCUGGGUUUAGAACGUCGUGAGACAGUUCGGUCCCUAUCUGCCGUGGGCGCUGGAGAACUGAGGGGGGCUGCUCCUAGUACGAGAGGACCGGAGUGGACGCAUCACUGGUGUUCGGGUUGUCAUGCCAAUGGCACUGCCCGGUAGCUAAAUGCGGAAGAGAUAAGUGCUGAAAGCAUCUAAGCACGAAACUUGCCCCGAGAUGAGUUCUCCCUGAGACUUUAAGUCUCCUGAAGGAACGUUGAAGACGACGACGUUGAUAGGCCGGGUGUGUAAGCGCAGCGAUGCGUUGAGCUAACCGGUACUAAUGAA